CCUGUACCGUAUUAAUCGAAUAAUCUUAUUGUUCAUAAAAUCCAGAGCAUGUGGGUGAGAAGAAUCGAUGCAGAAGCCAUCGCUCAGAGCGAUUUUCAGUACCUCUUCCACGAAGACCUGGAAGCUGUUGAUCUGCUUGUUGGCGGGCACCACCCAGAGCCUCUUGAGGUUCUGCUUGGUGUACUCCUCCUCUGGCAGGCCCUCCACAUUGGCCACCCAGUCCAGAGUCAGGUGGUUGGGGUCCUGCAAGUGGCUGGUGAUGGAGGAGAGAUUGCCAUUGGAGCAGUAGAAGAGCUUAGAGCCAAGGAGCUUGAGGAAGAGGCAGGAGGUGCUGAAGAUGUUGGCAUUGAAGACCUCCAUGCUGGAAGAGGAGAGGCUGUAGAUCUGGGGCGCCUCGCGCACAGUGAAGUGGACCGUCUGCACACGCUGGUUCAGUGUGAUGUUGAGCAUGGCAUUCUUCUCGGCCUUGGAGAGCUCCACUUCCUUCUCCUGCAGGGCCUCAAUCAGGGGCUGCACCUGGUAGAAGUCGGCCUCCCUGCGGAGCAGCCCCAUCUCCUGGAAGUCCUCGGGCAGGUCAAGGUGGGAGGUCCGCAGGAAGUUGAGGAUAUAGCGGAACACUUUGCCGUCACGGUCAAUGAAGCAGUUGCCCUGGCUGUCCCUCUUGGUGGGCAUCUUCCCGCUGAACAUGGCGCCUAGCAUGGAGUCAGGGAAGCUGGUCAGGGUCGCCAGUGAGGUUGUAUAGAGCUUCCCCCCGACGUUCAGCGUGAUGGGGUCGGACAUGGCAGGAGACUGGGUUGCUGGAAGUAGUCCUGGAGAGGGUGAGAAGUGAGAAAUGACUAUAACCAAACCUUAUCAGAGAACUCACAGUCCUUAACUCCUUAUUGUACAUCAAGCCUAUGCCCUUGGGGUUGAAAUGAAUUAAUACCUGAUGAAUGGGUGAUAAUUGCUAACACUGUGCAAAGUACAUUAGCUUCACUAGGGAGAGGGAAAGGAGAAAGGGAAAAGGAAAGGAAAAAGGAAACAGGGAAAGAAAGGGAAGGACCCCUAAAGCCUGGGUCCCCCCCGCCCCCCUCUGCAGCCAACAUUCUAUUUUAAUUGGUCUGGAAUACUGCCCCAGCACUGGUAUUUUGAAAGAGUUCCCUUAGUGAUUCUAAAUGUUCAGUUAGAAUAGAGAACCACUGGUCUAAAGAAAGAAAGGAAAACGUGCCUGGACUGAAAGCUAUGCUACGUGUUUAUACAUAUAUUUGCUUACAUAAUAGUUGUAUCAGCCAGGUGCGGUGGCUCACACCUGUAAUCCCAGCACUUAGGGAGGCCGAGGCAGGCAGAUCACCUGAGAUCAGGAGUUCAAGAUCAGACUGGCCAACAUGGUGAAACCCCAUCUCUACUAAAAAUACAAAAAUUAGCUGGGCAUGGUGGUGGGUGCCUGUAAUCCCAGCUGUUCAGGAGGCUGGGGCAGGAGAAUCAUUUGAACUCAGGAGGUGGAGGUUGCAGUGAGCCGGGACUGAGCAACUGCACUCCAGCCUGGACAACAAGAGUGAAACUCCGUCUC
Molecule: non-coding RNA, 1549 nt
Filed under: Pan troglodytes (chimpanzee)
Lineage: Eukaryota; Metazoa; Chordata; Mammalia; Primates; Hominidae
Source: RNAcentral